Non-coding RNA from Paramuricea clavata, 446 nucleotides. NCBI's taxonomy places the organism in Eukaryota, Metazoa, Cnidaria, Anthozoa, Malacalcyonacea, Plexauridae. The record is from the annotation of a GenBank genome assembly.
UUUUAAUUUUAGCCAUUUUAAAUUAUGCAUGUCCAUAUAGUUUAAUUAAUCAUUUUAUUGUUACAAAGGCGGUUAUUUAUCCAGCUUCAUUUCAGCAAAUUCACAUAUGUAUAAAUCUGCGCAAAAACACGGUCUCCAUUCAAAACGUAUUCUGAUUUCGCAGCAAGAGGAACGAUCGAAGAAUAUUUUCACAAUGGCUUUCAAAUUUGUUACAAUCGUUUUAUUGGCGUGCAUUUUUGGCGCAAAUGCGAGAAGGAUGUCUUUCAGAAAUUGUGGUAUGUAUAGUAAGGUGUUUUAAUUAAUCCUUAAUUAAAGUAAACUAAUUUUAUAGUAACAUAAUGGUCUACUUUUCUACUGUUUUAUACCAAGUAAAGUAAUACUCUACUUUUUAGGCACACCGAGAGCGGACUACAAUCUAAUGCCCCAUUAUGCUUACUGAAAUUGAC